GUAUGUGUCUGUGUGUGUCUGUAUGUGUGUCCUGUAUGUGUCUGUGAGUGUCUGUGAGUGUCUGUGUGUGUCUGUAUGUGUCUGUGAGUGUCUGUGAGUGUCUGUGUGUGUGUCUGUGUGUGUCUGUGUGUGUGUCUGUAUGUGUCUGUGAGUGUCUUUGUGUGUUGUCUGUGUGUGUCUGUGAGUGUCUGUGUGUGUGUCCUGUCUGUGUGUGUGUCCUGUAUGUGUCUGUGAGUGUCUGUGUGUGUGUCUGUAUGUGUCUGUGUGUGUCUGUGUGUGUGUCUGUAUGUGUCUGUAUGUGUCUGUGUGUGUCUGAGUGUCUGUGUAUGUGUCUGUAUGUGUCUGUGUGUGUCUGUGUGUGUGUCUGUGUGUGUCUGUAUGUGUCUGUGAGUGUCUGUGUGUGUGUCUGUAUGUGUCUGUGUGUGUGUCUGUAUGUGUCUGUGUAUGUCUGUGUGUGUCUGUGUGUGUGUCUGUAUGUGUCUGUGAGUGUCUGUGUGUUUCUGUAUGUGUCUGUAUGUGUCUGUAUG
Long non-coding RNA from Ictalurus punctatus (channel catfish), 527 nucleotides. NCBI's taxonomy places the organism in Eukaryota, Metazoa, Chordata, Actinopteri, Siluriformes, Ictaluridae. The record is from Ensembl.